GACGGAAGGUGCAAGCGUUGCUCGGAAUCACUGGGCGUAAAGGGUGCGUAGGCGGCCGUGCAAGUCUGGCGUGAAAGCCCCGGGCUCAGCCCGGGAAGUGCGCUCGAAACUGCGCGGCUCGGGUGCCGGAGGGGAGAGUGGAAUUCCUGGUGUAGCGGUGAAAUGCGUAGAUAUCAGGAGGAACACCCGUGGCGAAGGCGGCUCUCUGGGACGGUACUGACGCUGAGACGCGAAAGCGUGGGGAGCAAACAGG
This 253-nucleotide ribosomal RNA is filed under the name uncultured bacterium. RNAcentral's name for it is "partial 16S ribosomal RNA". It matches the Rfam family "Bacterial small subunit ribosomal RNA", at positions 524 to 776 of the family's 1533-position model. The record is from RNAcentral.